AUUGAACGCUGGCGGCAUGCCUUACACGUGCAAGUCGAACGGUAACAGGUCUUCGGAUGCUGACGAGUGGCGAACGGGUGAGUAAUACAUCGGAACGUGCCUAGUAGUGGGGGAUAACUACUCGAAAGAGUGGCUAAUACCGCAUGAGAUCUACGGAUGAAAGCAGGGGAUCGCAAGACCUUGUGCUACUAGAGCGGCCGAGGGCAGAUUAGGUAGUUGGUGGGAUAUAAGCUUACCAAGCCGACGAUCUGUAGCUGGUCUGAGAGGACGAUCAGCCACACUGGGACUGAGACACGGCCCAGACUCCUACGGGAGGCAGCAGUGGGGAAUUUUGGACAAUGGGCGCAAGCCUGAUCCAGCAAUGCCGCGUGCAGGAUGAAGGCCUUCGGGUUGUAAACUGCUUUUGUACGGAACGAAAAGCCCUGGGUUAAUACCCUGGGGUCAUGACGGUACCGUAAGAAUAAGCACCGGCUAACUACGUGCCAGCCGCCGCCGUAA
RNAcentral lists this ribosomal RNA (498 nucleotides) under uncultured bacterium. RNAcentral's name for it is "partial 16S ribosomal RNA". It matches the Rfam family "Bacterial small subunit ribosomal RNA", at positions 30 to 523 of the family's 1533-position model. The record is from RNAcentral.